AUUGAACGCUGGCGGCAGGCCUAACACAUGCAAGUCGAGCGGAUGAAGGGAGCUUGCUCCUGGAUUCAGCGGCGGACGGGUGAGUAAUGCCUAGGAAUCUGCCUGGUAGUGGGGGAUAACGUCCGGAAACGGGCGCUAAUACCGCAUACGUCCUGAGGGAGAAAGUGGGGGAUCUUCGGACCUCACGCUAUCAGAUGAGCCUAGGUCGGAUUAGCUAGUUGGUGGGGUAAAGGCCUACCAAGGCGACGAUCCGUAACUGGUCUGAGAGGAUGAUCAGUCACACUGGAACUGAGACUCGGUCCAGACCCCUACGGGGGGCAGGAGGGGGGAAUUUUGGAAAAUGGGCGAAAGCCUGAUCCAGCCAUGCCGGGGGUGUGAAGAAGGUUUUCGGAUUGUAAAGCCCUUUAAGUUGGGGGGAAGGGAAGUAAGUUAAAACCUUGCUUUUUUGACGUUACCAACAGAAUAAGCACCGGCUAACUUCGG
RNAcentral lists this ribosomal RNA (483 nucleotides) under uncultured bacterium. Its description in RNAcentral is "partial 16S ribosomal RNA". It matches the Rfam family "Bacterial small subunit ribosomal RNA", at positions 30 to 506 of the family's 1533-position model. The record is from RNAcentral.